UGCUGGUCUGAGUGCAAUGGUGUUUAUAACUAAUUGAUCACAAAUGGUUAGAUUUCUUUGUUCAUCCUCCCCUUUCCAACAGUUUCACUUGACGAGCCUUAA
Molecule: unclassified non-coding RNA, 102 nt
Organism: Aotus nancymaae (Ma's night monkey)
Lineage: Eukaryota; Metazoa; Chordata; Mammalia; Primates; Aotidae
Rfam family: Y RNA
About the family: Y RNAs are components of the Ro ribonucleoprotein particle (Ro RNP), in association with Ro60 and La proteins. The Y RNAs and Ro60 and La proteins are well conserved, but the function of the Ro RNP is not known.
Source: Ensembl